AUGGCUUGUAGUGACAAAAAGAUUGCCUUCUUGGCUCUGCUGCUAGCAUUGCUUGGUUGCCUGGGGCGCACGUGCCAAGCGAGCUACGGGUUUCCCUAUCCGUUGCUCCCUUUCUUCCAGGUCAGAAUAAGUUCUCAUGCCCUGUCGCUCACCUUUGGUCACUACCCCAAGGUCAAGAACACUUGCUAUGGAGUGGAGACGAUCGUGAGGGACAUUGUAAAGGAGGAGGUGGACCGCGACCGCGGCAUCGGCGCCGGGCUCAUCCGUCUCUUCUUCCACGACUGCUUUGUCCGGGGUUGUGAUGCGUCGGUCCUCCUUAACACUACCAGCACGCCCAACGAGCCGACGGAGAUGGAAGGCAUCCCCAACAAGGGCAGUCUUCGUGGCUUCGAGGUGAUCAACAGGAUCAAGGAGAAGCUUGAGGCCACGCCCGGGUGCAAGCAUAUCGUCUCAUGCUCGGACAUCGUCGCCUUUGCUGGGCGCGACGCCACCUACUUCCUCAGCAACAAGGUGAUAGACUUUGAAAUCCCGUCUGGCCGCUACGACGGGCGCGUCUCUCUCGCCAGCGAAACCCUCCCCAAUCUGCCCCCUCCCUUCGCCAACAUCACGAUGCUCGAGGCUAUGUUCCAAAACAAGAAUCUCACCCUUGACGAGAUGGUCACCCUCUCCGGCGCACACUCAAUCGGCAUCUCCCACUGCUCGUCCUUCAACGGGGACCGCCCCACGACCAUGAACUCUACAUUGGCCGACUUGGUGACAGCUAACUGUAGCAGCGGCGGCAACCCUACGGUGGAUCAGGACAUCUACACCCCUGGAUACCUGGACAACCAAUACUACAACAACGUGCUUAACCACGAAGUGUUGUUCAAAUCGGAUGCCGCGCUCGAGUCACCCUCGACAAUUGAAUCCGUGAAACGAAAUGCCAGGUACCCUGUAGAGUGGGAACAGAAGUUCCGGCAAGCCAUGGUGAAGAUGGGCAACAUCGAGGUCAAGACCAGCAUGAAUGGGGAGAUCAGACAGAAGUGCUGGUCCAUCAACUACUAG
RNAcentral lists this ribosomal RNA (1044 nucleotides) under Triticum aestivum (bread wheat). RNAcentral's name for it is "partial small subunit ribosomal RNA". The record is from RNAcentral. Lineage: Eukaryota; Viridiplantae; Streptophyta; Magnoliopsida; Poales; Poaceae.